This 256-nucleotide ribosomal RNA is filed under the name uncultured bacterium. RNAcentral describes it as "partial 16S ribosomal RNA". It matches the Rfam family "Bacterial small subunit ribosomal RNA", at positions 524 to 776 of the family's 1533-position model. The record is from RNAcentral.
UACGUAGGGGGGCAAGCGUUGUCCGGAUUUAUUGGGCGUAAAGAGCGUGUAGGCGGCCAUACAGGUCAGCUGUGAAAACUCGAGGCUCAACCUCGAGACGUCGGUUGAAACCGUAUGGCUAGAGUCCGGAAGAGGAGAGUGGAAUUCCCGGUGUAGCGGUGAAAUGCGCAGAUAUCGGGAAGAACACCCGUGGCGAAGGCGGCUCUCUGGGACGGUACUGACGCUGAGACGCGAAAAGCGUGGGGGAGCGAACAGG